AGUUAAUCUUCCCAGGGUUAGUCGGCCCCUAAGCCGAGGGCGAAAGCCGUAGGCGAUGGGAAACGGGUUAAUAUUCCCGUACCAGUAGUAAAUCGUUUGACCGAUGGAGGGACGGAGAAGGGUAGCUAGGCCAGGCGAUGGUUGUCCUGGUUCAAGCGUGUAGGCGGGAAGAGCAGGUAAAUCCACUCUUCCAUUAACGUCGAGACGUGAUGUCGGUGUCCAUUAGGACCGCAAGCUAGUGAUCCCAUGCUUCCAAGAAAAGCUUCGUAGGGAGAUUUGCUGCUGACCGUACCGCAAACCAACACAGGUAGGUGGGCAGAGCAUGCCAAGGCGCUUGAGAGAACUCUGGUUAAGGAAUUAGGCAAAAUGACACCGUAACUUCGGGAGAAGGUGUGCCUUUGAUGGUGAUGGAACUUGCUUCCUGAGCCGUUGGGGGUUGCAGAGACCAGGGGGUAGCGACUGUUUACUAAAAACACAGUACUGUGCGAAGUCCUAUAGACGACGUAUACGGUAUGACGCCUGCCCGGUGCUGGAAGGUUAAGGGGAUCUGUUAGACUUCGGUCGAAGCAGUGAACCGAAGCCCCAGUAAACGGCGGCCGUAACUAUAACGGUCCUAAGGUAGCGAAAUUCCUUGUCGGUUAAAUACCGACCUGCAUGAAUGGCGUAACGAGAUGGGAGCUGUCUCAACCAGGGAUCCAGUGAAAUUGUAGUGGAGGUGAAAAUUCCUCCUACCCGCGGAAAGACGGAAAGACCCCGUGCACCUUUACUACAGCUUGACACUGUAGCUUGGAUAUUCAUGUGCAGGAUAGGUGGGAGGCUUUGAAACUAGGAUGCUAAUUCUAGUGGAGCUAUCCUUGAGAUACCACCCUUGAAUAUUUGAGUUACUAACUGCGUACAAUUAUCUUGUGCCAGGACAAUGUCUGGUGGGUAGUUUGACUGGGGCGGUCGCCUCCUAAAAAGUAACGGAGGCUUACAAAGGUUGGCUCAAUGCGGUUGGAAAUCGGAUGUUGAGUAUAAUGGCAUAAGCCAGCCUGACUGUGAGACAUACAUGUCGAGCAGAGACGAAAGUCGGUCAUAGUGAUCCGGUGGUUCUGUGUGGAAGGGCCAUCGCUCAAAGGAUAAAAGGUACGCCGGGGAUAACAGGCUGAUCUCCCCCAAGAGCUCACAUCGACGGGGAGGUUUGGCACCUCGAUGUCGGCUCAUCGCAUCCUGGGGCUGGAGCAGGUCCCAAGG
RNAcentral lists this ribosomal RNA (1233 nucleotides) under Globobulimina sp. Its description in RNAcentral is "bacterial LSU rRNA". It matches the Rfam family "Bacterial large subunit ribosomal RNA", at positions 1363 to 2570 of the family's 2925-position model. The record is from RNAcentral. Lineage: Eukaryota; Foraminifera; Rotaliida; Buliminidae.